RNAcentral lists this ribosomal RNA (838 nucleotides) under Bacillus amyloliquefaciens. RNAcentral's name for it is "bacterial SSU rRNA". It matches the Rfam family "Bacterial small subunit ribosomal RNA", at positions 56 to 875 of the family's 1533-position model. Lineage: Bacteria; Bacillati; Bacillota; Bacilli; Caryophanales; Bacillaceae. The record is from RNAcentral.
UGCAAGUCGAGCGGACAGAUGGGAGCUUGCUCCCUGAUGUUAGCGGCGGACGGGUGAGUAACACGUGGGUAACCUGCCUGUAAGACUGGGAUAACUCCGGGAAACCGGGGCUAAUACCGGAUGGUUGUCUGAACCGCAUGGUUCAGACAUAAAAGGUGGCUUCGGCUACCACUUACAGAUGGACCCGCGGCGCAUUAGCUAGUUGGUGAGGUAACGGCUCACCAAGGCGACGAUGCGUAGCCGACCUGAGAGGGUGAUCGGCCACACUGGGACUGAGACACGGCCCAGACUCCUACGGGAGGCAGCAGUAGGGAAUCUUCCGCAAUGGACGAAAGUCUGACGGAGCAACGCCGCGUGAGUGAUGAAGGUUUUCGGAUCGUAAAGCUCUGUUGUUAGGGAAGAACAAGUGCCGUUCAAAUAGGGCGGCACCUUGACGGUACCUAACCAGAAAGCCACGGCUAACUACGUGCCAGCAGCCGCGGUAAUACGUAGGUGGCAAGCGUUGUCCGGAAUUAUUGGGCGUAAAGGGCUCGCAGGCGGUUUCUUAAGUCUGAUGUGAAAGCCCCCGGCUCAACCGGGGAGGGUCAUUGGAAACUGGGGAACUUGAGUGCAGAAGAGGAGAGUGGAAUUCCACGUGUAGCGGUGAAAUGCGUAGAGAUGUGGAGGAACACCAGUGGCGAAGGCGACUCUCUGGUCUGUAACUGACGCUGAGGAGCGAAAGCGUGGGGAGCGAACAGGAUUAGAUACCCUGGUAGUCCACGCCGUAGACGAUGAGUGCUAAGUGUUAGGGGGUUUCCGCCCCUUAGUGCUGCAGCUAACGCAUUAAGCACUCCGCCUG